Molecule: transfer RNA, 140 nt
Organism: Thermoplasma acidophilum DSM 1728
Lineage: Archaea; Methanobacteriati; Thermoplasmatota; Thermoplasmata; Thermoplasmatales; Thermoplasmataceae
Rfam family: tRNA
About the family: Transfer RNA (tRNA) molecules are approximately 80 nucleotides in length. Their secondary structure includes four short double-helical elements and three loops (D, anti-codon, and T loops). Further hydrogen bonds mediate the characteristic L-shaped molecular structure. tRNAs have two regions of fundamental functional importance: the anti-codon, which is responsible for specific mRNA codon recognition, and the 3' end, to which the tRNAs corresponding amino acid is attached (by aminoacyl-tRNA synthetases). tRNAs cope with the degeneracy of the genetic code in two manners: having more than one tRNA (with a specific anti-codon) for a particular amino acid; and 'wobble' base-pairing, i.e. permitting non-standard base-pairing at the 3rd anti-codon position.
Source: Rfam
GGGGACAUGGGGUAAUGGCAUCCUGACGGGCUCCAGUCAGGAGAUGAUUAGAAACAGGGUCAUCUGAUUUGAUGAUGAGUGACUGGAACUAUGAUCCAGGAAGAGACCCGUAGAUCUGGGUUCAACUCCCAGUGUCCCCA